GACGAACGCUGGCGGCGUGCUUAACACAUGCAAGUCGUACGGUAAGGCCCUUUCGGGGGUCCACGAGUGGCGAACGGGUGAGUAACACGUGCGUAACCUUCCCACAACUUUGGGAUAACGCUAGGAAACUGGUGCUAAUACUGGAAAUGUGCUCCUUCUGCAUGGUGGGGGUUGGAAAGCUCCGGCGGUUGUGGAUGGACUCGCGGCCUAUCAGCUAGUUGGUGGGGUAGUGGCCUACCAAGGCGGCGACGGGUAGCCGGGCUGCGAGGGGGACCGGCCACAAGGGAGUUGAGAGACGGUCGUGACUCCUACGGGAGGCAGAAGUAGGGAAGGUUGCGCAAUGGGCGAAAGAUUGACGGAGCGACGCAGCGUGAGUGAAGAAGGCCGUCGGGUGGGAAAACGCUGUUAUGAGGGAAGAACAAAUGCGUAAGUAACUAGGCUUGUCGUGACGGUACCUAAAAAGAAAGCCCCGGCUAACUACGUG
Molecule: ribosomal RNA, 484 nt
Filed under: uncultured bacterium
Lineage: Bacteria
Description: partial 16S ribosomal RNA
Rfam family: Bacterial small subunit ribosomal RNA
Source: RNAcentral